Astatotilapia calliptera (eastern happy) is the source of this 1903-nucleotide long non-coding RNA. The record is from Ensembl. Lineage: Eukaryota; Metazoa; Chordata; Actinopteri; Cichliformes; Cichlidae.
UGGUACACAGUAAAUUUCCCAGUGUUAAAUCAGCAGUGUUAAAGUGUAUUUACUCUAAUAGAGUCAUUAUAACAACAGCUGGAGCAAAACGCCCCCCAGUGUGGGUGAUGAUUCCUGGAGUUAAAAGAGACAGUGUCAACGUUACUCUAGAAAGCUCCUCCCACCACAGACUGGUUUUCAAACCGAGAGGAUUUUUCACGACGCCAUUUUCUUCACAUCAGUUGCAGGGUAAGUUGUUCAUAUUUACUUUUUAAACCAACAAUUCGACAUUUUAAGCACAGGUAGCACGUUAAAAUAAGGUUACAUUCCUUUUGUCCAUGUUUAUUAUAUAUUUCAUUUUGUACCAGAAGCAAAUGUGACACUAUCUGUAUGCUAAUGUAAGGUUGUUAAUUAGCUAAAAAAGUUGACUGAUAUCAGUGUUGGACUGUAAGGCUUGUUAUCAAAAUUUAUUUCAGUGUGUAGUGGUGAUUGUGUUGUGUUCUAGCAUGUUCGAAAUUCCAUUAAAUGAAACCCUCCAUGUGUUGGGAUCUAUAUAUUAACAUUAGCUAGCUAACUAGCAUUUUGGCUAACCUCAGUGCGCGGGCAAUUCGCUAGUUAGCGUUAAAUUUUAAAUUACCUAACUCAAGCAUUAACUAAUUAAAAUUGUACACUAAAUGUUACAUCUUUCUUUUUUUCUUUUUUUUGAUACCUAGGUACCAGAUAUAGAGGUCGUUUUUAGUAAGGUUAUUGUCUUAUUUUAACUCGGCUGUCUUCAGCGAUUUUACAGUUACAGGAUUACAACCAGCAGGUGUUAUAAGCUUGAUAAAAUAUCCAAAAUGUCCAGGAUUCAGUUUUUAAUGCAUUUUUUUAGUAGUUUGAAUUUAAGAUGACAGCGUUUGUAUUUAUUGUGAGUUGAUGGUAUUGACAAAAGUUACCCUGCUGCUUUUUCCAUUUUGGUUACCAGACUGUUCAGUAUGUUAAACUAAAGAUGAACAAAAUACUGGCUCCCUAGUGCUAAGUUAGGUCAGACAAAUGGUAAAAAGUAGUAGUUAUUAUUUUAGUUUUGUAUUGAGGAUUAUAUCUUGACACCUUGUUACACUGACAUAAAAGUAACAUACAGUGUAAGAAAUCACAUUGCAAGGCUGUUUAUGGGACUGUUUUAAUAUUCACAUUUUCUGUUUACUGUAGUUCAAUGAAGAGCACUGACUAUAAGAAAUUACUGUCUACAGGAAGCAUGCUGCUUAAAGCAAAACUUGGAGGUGUGCAGAAAUUUGUUAGAGUAUCUGAGCCAAGCCUUAAGGAGUUUUUGAUUGCCGCAUUUGCAAAGUUUGGUGCGCCAGCCGUAACAGAAGGAGUGAAAGUUUUUGAUAGUUCAGGGACUGAGUUGGAUGAGGAUGUUUUUGAGGAUAUAGUAACAGAUCCCUCAACCGGGGUACUAACCAUCAAAUAUGAAACAGGUCUGGAAACAUCUGUUGCAGAAGUGUCUCCUGAGCAGUUCCAGUUAUCAUCGCCACAUUCAUCAGAUUCACAGGAUACGGUCAUCCUUUCAGACAGCCCUUUGAGGAAACGUCAGAAGCUGGAUGCAGAAGCUAAGCAAUUGGUGGAAUCCAUUCUCACAAGCAAACCUGGUGGAGAACGUAUAAUAAAUGAGUACAAUUGGACCAAGUCCCUGGUGGAUGAAACCAGAAGAAAAAUGGUCAACAUACUGGUAGCUGACAUGACAGAAAAAAAUGGUACAUCACCACCACGGCAGGUAAAAGAAAUGUAUGCCAGAGGAAUUGUAACCUUUUUCCCUUACCUCAGUGACCCGUACUCAAAAAAUGGCUAUGAACAUUAUUAUGAUGGCGAGAGUGGCACUGGGUACUUGGCCUGGAGGAUUAAAACCAUACAGAGAUGCACUGCUAAAGAGAGGCGAUUAACAUCU